Molecule: unclassified non-coding RNA, 229 nt
Filed under: soil metagenome
Description: partial contains small subunit ribosomal RNA, internal transcribed spacer 1, and 5.8S ribosomal RNA
Source: RNAcentral
UCUCCGUUGGUGAACCAGCGGAGGGAUCAUUACAAAACGAGUGCUUCGGCUCUCCAACCCAUUGUGAACUUACCUAUCGUUCCCUCGGCGGGCUCAGCGCGCGGCCGGCCUCCGGGCCACCGGGCGUCCGCCGGGGACAACCAAACCCGAAUUUUUCGUGUAUAUCUGAGGGGCGAAAGCCCGAAAACAAAAUGAAUCAAAACUUUCAACAACGGAUCUCUUGGCUCUG